This is a long non-coding RNA of Amphiprion ocellaris (clown anemonefish), 4940 nucleotides long. The record is from Ensembl. Lineage: Eukaryota; Metazoa; Chordata; Actinopteri; Pomacentridae.
CGCAUGUGUCGAAGCUUCCGGUAUCAGAGGACCAUCACUAUCUGGUAGCGUCUCUGGCUGCUGUUGACCUUGUUUUUGGUGUAAAACACGGUGGAAGCUGAAUUAGUGAGGAUGACUCCUGCUCCUGUCAUCUCUAAGCUCCUCACACAUCUUUACCUGCACAUGAGGAAAAUCACUCCUGUAGAAUGCAGUGGUUCAUCAGAACCUCUGGGGAUGUCCUGUGGAUUCUGUGGAUCCUGUGGGUUGCAGGGUGGGUCCUACCUAGACCAGGCUGAUCCUGGACCAUCCCACAGACGCUCAAUCAGAUGUGGAUGUGGGGAGUGUGGAACCCAGAUGUUCAGAGGGAGAUGAUGCCACAUCUGGUCCAGCUGAUGGAAGGUCUUGAAGUUCUCUGACUGGCCUCGACUGAAGAUAGUCGUCUCACUGGAUUUAAGGUUCAGAUGCUCAGUAACAAACUCCACCAAUGAGCCAACAGGGAAGCUUUAGGUUUAUUAAAUGUUGCUAUGAAAGUUUCGCUGUUUUUCUUUGUGAAUGCAAUGUGCUCCAACUGAAACUUGAAUUAGAACUUAGAAGUAAAUCCUUCCAUCUGAAAGGAUUUAGUUGCAUUAAUAACCUCAUAACAUUCUAAUUUUUAUUCCAGUCUUAGUUGGAAAUAGAAUCUCUGUAUUGAUUCAGGUAAAAACUGAACUUCACAGCAUGUUGAAGCAAAACAACCAGAUGAAAACUGUGAUGGUGUUGGAUUGUCAGACCGUAUUGUUGCAGCUCAAAGCAGCUUUUCUAUCUCAGUUCAUUCUGACAUUCAGCUAUGAAUCAACACAGCAGAUGGUGAUCCAUGCUGUGGAAGUCUCACAUCUCCUGAUUUAAUGGAGCUGCUUUGCACUUUUUACACUGUUUAUUCACCAACACUUUAUUUAAUAAAAGUCCCAUCUAGUUUUUAUGAGGAAUGUGAUGUUUUAAUUUCUCUGUGAAUAACUGCAGUCUAAUGCAACAGCUGGAGUUGUAACAUCUGUCCUGAUAUUGAUCAUGAAGUAUUGAUCAGAAUACUUAUGGUUAGCAGUCAUCCCUGAAGUUUUACAUUAAAAUCUUUACUUGUGUUGUGAACUUUGGUAAGAAGCAGAAACGUUAGCGUUGCCAUGGAUACAUGAGUGUUAAAUUCUGUCCAUGUUUCCAUUUUGGGAAAUUCAGUCCAGUUCCAGAAUGUGGAGGAAUUUAGUCUCACAAUCACAGACAAUAAAUAUUAUCUGAAAGUCGGGUUAUUGUUGUUUAUCAGCACAAUAUAAAAAGAUUAAUGGUAGAAAUAUUCCAGUUAAGACUCUAGAAUAUCAUGAUUUAUGUAAAUUUACUUCAAUAAUAUGAAUGUUCAGGUUAAGAUUGUACAGUGAUAUUUAUUAUGUAAGUUUAGCUGAUUAAAGUUUAUGACUCUGCACUAAAACAUUAUUUAAAUUGACAUCAUUAUUAUAAUAUUUAGGGUCAGACCCUACAGUAUUGAGAUUAAGAAAUCAAAUAUUGUAUAAAAUGUAAAUACACUGAACUCAUUUGGAUAUAUUUAAGUGAGACUCUACAAUAGUAUUUGACACAAAUCUAUCUAAAUCAAAAUUUUAAUAAUUUUCACGCCAAACAUUUACUGGACUGAUUUAAACAUUAAAAUCACCCCUUUCUAAUCCUCUGCUGUACGUUCAAACCUGAGGCCUUAAAUAGAAACACACAAGUAUCUGAUUGAAGGAACUUCUGCAGAGUCCUGGUUCCAGAACAUGAUGAUAGAAUUAUAGACAAACUUUAACAAAAGCUGCCUGAGAGUUUACAGGUUUUUAUGUUGGAUUUCUUCAGUAAUUUAAUGAGAGUUAUCAGCAAUAAUCAAGUGUUCAUUUGAUGAACUUCAUUUCCUAAAACAUCCAGAAUUGGAGCUCAUAUCUUUGGCAGCUGUAAAGUUUCUGCUCCUUCAAAGUUCACAACACAAUGAAUGAAUUCCUAAAACACUCUCAAUGCUGGAGAGCGUUUGUGAUGCUGAAGCAGUGACCAGUUUUUCUGUUUCUUCUCUGGAGAUGCACAAUGAGGGACGUCUGCAGAGACUGAGAAAGAGUCUCACCACAUCCUGACAUGAGGAAAAAGACUUUAUUGAAGACUACAAUGAGAAAAACUAUCAGACAGCAGACAGCUGCAUUCAAGGCUACAGGAGGAGCCCUACGAGUACGAGCCGGUCCACCUGAUGGCGGCCAGUCGCUGUGGUUCAAAGCCAACACCGACUACGUGGACUUCUACUGGACCACACGGAGGCCUUCAAACCGGACCAACAAGUUCACCGACUCCCCGACUCGUGGGUCUGAGGACGCCGCCGAGCCUCGGUCCAGCCGGCCUCCUGUCUGUGGGUGUUUGAGUGCUGAGAGGUUUGUGGAUGCAUGUGAACGUGUCUGUGUUGAAACAGCAGCUUUUGACUCAGUAACGCUGGGAAAAACCAAGAGCUCCUUUAUUUGUGACUUCCACUAAAAAACUGAUGAAAAUAAGUUUGCCAGGGUUCUGACUGAUAACAGAUUAUUAAAUAAUGAAAAUAACUGUUUAAAUAUUCCUUUAAACAAUCCUUUUAGGUCUACAUUUCCUUUACACUGACUUCUUGGUAUUUUGGGUGGAAUAUAUCAUCAGACUAACCUCCAAGGUCUACAGUCGUGAAUUUUAUGUCGAAUGUACCAUUAAACUCACCUUUUAGGUCUACAUUGGAGGAUUUUAGGUGGAAUUCUCUUCCAAACUGUCUUUUAGUCUACAUUUAAGGAUGUUUAGGAUGGUAUAUUCUUCCGAACCAACUUCUCAGGUCUACAUUUCAGGUGGAAUAUUCCUCCAUACUAACUUUUUUGGUCUACACUGAAGGAUUUUUUCUAAACAACCCUUUCGGGUCUAUAUUUGAGGUUUUAGGUGGAAUAUUCCUUUUAACCAGCCCCUCAGGUCUCUUUGAGGAUUUUGGAUGGAAUACUCGGUUAAAGCAACAUUUUAGGUGCAUGUCCAAGGGUUUUUGGUAGAAUGUUCCUUUAAGGUGGAUGUUUGAGGACCUUGUAGGUGGAAUACUUCCUGAAACCAACCUUUUAGGUCAACAUUCAAAGAUUUAAGGUGGAAUAUUCCUUUAAACCAACCUAAAUUUCAUGUUUUGAUCGUUAUCAAGUGAGAAACCUCAAUCCAGACUCCUCAUAAUGACAUUUGAGAUUUAUGCUGCUGUUAUUUGUUUAGUCCAGACUAAAUGACAGAAAUCCACAACUGUAAUUUUAUUUCAGGACUCAGUUAUUAAAUUCAAUUCAAUUCAAUUUUAUUUAUAUAGCGCCAAUUACAGUCAAAUUGUCUCGAGACGCUUUACAGAACCAAUAUGCCUGACCUCCAGAGCAAGCCAAAAGGUGACAGUGGCAAGGAAAACACCCUUUUAACAGGGAAAAAAACCUCGAGCAGAACCCGGCUCUAAUGUGGGGGGACCCAUCUGCCUGCUGACCGGGCGGGUUGAGAGGGACAGAAGAGGUAGAGGGGAAGACAAAACAAUCCAUGUGACUCUAAAAACUAAACAGCUGUACAAACUCUAAGAUUAAACUCUCCACAAGGAGCCAAAAUAAGUUGGACUUCUACAUGAGAGCUUUAAUUAUUCUUCAUCUACUUCCUGAAAAAUUUGGUCAAUAAAAAAGGCAAAAACUAAUAUUUUCAGCUGAACGAAAGACAGACUGUGAUUUUUCUGCUCACAUGUGUUGUUGUAAACUUGCUCUUUCAAAUAAAUAGCCGCCUAACCCCCUGGAAACCAGCGUUUGUCCUGUUUUUGUGUUGCUCCUCAGUGACCCUAGACAGCCGGGUCGUAAUGUUUUUUGAGCAACACACCAUACUAUGACGUUUUUACAAUGAUGGUUCUACUAUGAAACCAGUUUGACAUGUUCAGGUGUUCUUUGUGUGAAAACUCAGAGAUUUCAGGUAUCAGAAGGUGGUUUUCAACUUUCUUUGUUAACUUUCUGCUUCAACUUUAAAUUAAAUUUCCUUCACUAACCCAGCCCUCUGGACUUCCAGGAAGCUGUGUUCUUAUUGGCUGUCCAGGUGGCUGCUUGGUGUUAUCAGGAACACCUGAGCAGCUCAGUGUCUUCCUGCUUUAUUUAGCUGCAGACAAACAUUUCCUCUGCUUCUAUUCACCACUGAAUCAGGUUUAGCGCCAUUGCUUCAGUUUGUUCUUUAGGUGUUGGCUUGCAGCUUCCAGCAGUAAAAUCGUCUUUAAUGUGUUUCUUGGUGUGUUUUAUGGCUUUGUACUGGAUAGUUGUCUUGGUAAAUGUGGUUCUUUAGCCACAGUUAGCACAUGGUCCUAAUGUGUGCAGUGAUUAGUGGAUUUGGUGCAGCUGAGUUGUGUCUUUAUCUUGGCUGUAGUGAGUCUUUAGAGGUUUUUGGUCAGACACAUUCUGUAUUCUUGUUUGAGAACCAAUGUUGGUUGUCCAGAAGGUAAGAGUUCCUGUCCUGAUUCUCUGUUCUCAGAGGUUCUCUGGUAGGCUGCAGGAGAGUUUAGUGUUUGGGUUGUGCUAGUUUGGUUUUUGUACGAUUUCAUUUGGACGACUAUCUUGAGGCCCCUCCAUGUGGUUUAGUGAGGUUUUCUGCGACAGUUCUACAAAGCAACCUGCAGCAGAAGAGACUUUGAGAGUUUUUAGGAAGUUCUGGAGACCAGACUUUAGAGCAGCAGAAACAUUUGUCAGCAGUUUGAGCAGGAGAAGGUGAUCUUCAGAGUAGAAAUGAGACAGAAACCUUCUUGACCCGUGUGGUGAGGUCCUGUACCAAGAGUUUGAGCAGGUUGUGAAGAGUCUGUAGUUCUUUGGUCUGAAAGCACAAGAAGAGUCGACUCAUUAAAGGAAAAAACAGGAGAUAUUGUUGGUUCUUCUGUCGCUCUGCAGUUUCCUUAGACUGAAUAUCAAGUUUAUAUGUUAAAUGAUUUCCCAUGUGAGCCC